This 116-nucleotide non-coding RNA is filed under the name Mesobacillus selenatarsenatis. RNAcentral describes it as "Bacillus selenatarsenatis SAM-I sequence". It matches the Rfam family "SAM riboswitch aptamer (S box leader)". From Rfam's summary of the family: The SAM riboswitch is found upstream of a number of genes which code for proteins involved in methionine or cysteine biosynthesis in Gram-positive bacteria. Lineage: Bacteria; Bacillati; Bacillota; Bacilli; Caryophanales; Bacillaceae. The record is from RNAcentral. RNAcentral also lists the same sequence under 1 other name.
AUCUUAUCCAGAGAAGCUGAGGGUCCUGGCCCGGUGAAGCUUCAGCAACCUUCAACUAUUUUUUUGUUGAAAAGGUGCUAAUUCCAGCAAGUUUUUUAAAACUUGGCAGAUAAGAA